RNAcentral lists this ribosomal RNA (440 nucleotides) under uncultured bacterium. RNAcentral describes it as "partial 16S ribosomal RNA". It matches the Rfam family "Bacterial small subunit ribosomal RNA", at positions 338 to 795 of the family's 1533-position model. The record is from RNAcentral.
CCUACGGGAGGCAGCAGUGGGGGAUAUUGCACAAUGGGGGGAACCCUGAUGCAGCGACGCCGCGUGGGUGAAGAAGCGCCUCGGCGCGUACAGCCCUGUCAGCAGGGAGGAAAAUGACGGUAGCUGAAGAAGAAGCCCCGGCUAACUACGUGCCCGCAGCCGCGGUAAUACGUAGGGGGCGAGCGUUAUCCGGAUUAACUGGGUGUAUGGGGGGCGCAGACGGCGAUGCAAGCCAGGAGUGAAAGCCCGGGGCCCAACCCCGGGACUGCUCUUGGCACUGCGUGGCUGGAGUGCAGGAGGGGCAGGAGGAAUGCCUGGUGUAGCGGUGAAAUGCGUAGAUAUCAGGAGGACCACCGGUGGCGAAGGCGGCCUGCUGGACUGCAACUGACGUUGAGGCCCGAAAGCGUGGGGAGCAAACAGGAUUAGAUACCCGGGUAGUC